GGGGCGGGCCGACCCCACCCCACCCCGGGGCGGCGCAGGCGCAGGCGGGCUCGGGGCGCGCGGCAGGAGGGACGGCGGGCGGGCGCUCACCUGCAAGAACCAGCGCAGGGCAGGCAUGAACCGGCGAUUGAACGCCAGGAGACGAGGGCAGAGGUGGGCAGGAUCAAAGAAGAGGGGGCGAGCCAGGGCAGACAGCAGGAGGAGCCAGGGCAGACGGGGCAGUGUGAGCGGGCGCCGAGGGCAGCACCAUCUGGAGGGGCGGGAGCGCGCCUGGCCUGGGGGCAAGCGAGUGCUGAACCGAAAGGCCAGUCAGGAAUAAGCAGUGAAAGGCAGGGAGGAGCGCGGCGGGCUGAGCCCCGCGCUGCCGGAGCAGCAGCCGCAGCGCGUCGGGGUUCUCAGCUGGGGCCCGCAGCAGCUCCGCGGGCUGAAGCUCGGUGUGGAGGAGCGGGGCGGGGUGGGCCCGGCCGUGCAGGAGGAGGGCGGGGUGGGCCCGGGGCUGCAGGAGCGCGGCGGCCGCGGCCACGAGCCCAGCCGGGGGGUGGUGUGGGGUCCGCCGGACGGCGCGGACUGGGGGCGCCCUCCGCGGUGGACGGGCUCGGCGGGCUGGCCUGUGGCGCAGGAGGAGGGGCUGGGGCCCCGCGGGCAGCACCAGGAGAAGGGCGGAGGCAGCCCCGCAGUGCAGGAGCGCGGCGAGGCCCGGGCCGGGGUGCAGGAGCGCGGAGAGGGGAGCCCGCGGAGGCUGCUGCAGCAGCCCGAGCCGGCGCCCGAGGCCGGGGAAGGCCCCCGCGAGCGCGGGGAGGGGCCGGAAAGUUCCGGCGAACUGGGGGAGCGGCAGUGGGAGAGCGUGGGGCGGGAGGCGGUGGUCCUGGGGGCGGCCCCGGAGCGCCGAAGCCGCCCGGAGCUGGUGGGGAGGGCCCGGCCGGUGGGGCCUCGGGGGCCUGCGGGGGAGGGGCGCCUGGGGGUGCAGGAGGCGAAUUGGCUGCCCGGAGUGCAGGAGGGACAGGUGGUGCGGGCUGUCCAGGAAACCUACCUAGACGGAAAGGAGCCCCAGGAGGGGGAGGGACCCGGCGAGGGGCUCAGGACCCGGAGGCGCCGGCGGAGGAGGAGGUGGUGACUGGCAGACCGCCGCCCGGGCCCCACGGUGCCUCCGGAGCUGAAGGGAACGCAGGAUGUAGGGGCGUGGGGAGUCGGGCACAGAAGAGUGCGGGGAACCGGGGAGCUCUGCGAGCCACUGCCUGA
This 1239-nucleotide long non-coding RNA is filed under the name Papio anubis (olive baboon). RNAcentral describes it as "lncRNA (ENSPANG00000046519.1)". The record is from RNAcentral. Lineage: Eukaryota; Metazoa; Chordata; Mammalia; Primates; Cercopithecidae.